AAUACAAUGAAUAGAUAUGAUCACUAGGGCAUUUACUACUACAGGUUCUACCCCCUUUUCUGAUUUAUUGUUUCUCAAUCCAUAGUGUAAGUAACUCCUGCAUCUUUUAGGGCAAACUAUCUUCUUUCAUUUUUGUUCUCUGUAGGUCAAUCUCUGGGACCAAGUCAAUCAAGCUAACUUCUCUGUCAGAGUUCCUGCUUCUUGAGUUCUCCAGCCUUGAAGAAAUCCAGCAGAUCCUUUUUCUGUCUGCUUGUGGCUAUAUCUGAUUGUUCUGAGUGGAAAUAUCACCACUGUCACUGUCAUCCGCCUGGAUCAAAGCCUCCACAUACCUGUAUACUUAUUCCUAGGGAUCCUCUCCAUUUCUGGGACAUGCUAUACCUUUGUCAUUCUGCCCAAGAUGCUCAUAGAUCUGUUGUCUUUGCUCAGAACAAUCUCAUUUAUUAACUGCCACUCCAGUGUUCUUCUUUCUGGGUUUUGCUGUCACUAAUUUCAUGUUCCUGGGCAUGACAGUUUAUGAUUCCUAUGUUGCCAUCUGCCAUCCACUUCACUACCCUGUCCUUACGAGCUGGCAGAUAUGUAAACAACUGGCAGCAACGUGUGCUGUGAUUGUUUUUUUUUGUUUGUUUGUUUUCACUGAUAGGCUCCUUCUUAGAUUUUCAGCUGCUUUUCUGUGGCCCAAACAAGAUCAACCACUACUUCUGUGACAUCUCACUGCUUAUUCAGCUUGCCUGUACUGAUACCUACAUCAGGGAGCUAGUCAUCUUCAUUGGUGGAAUUCUAGCACUUACGGUUCCUCUGAUUUUAUUUGCAUCUCCUAUGGCUUCAUUGUUCACACCAUCCUGAGGAUCCCAUAUGUGAAAGCAAGCAAAAAGCCAUCUCUACUUGUGCCUCCCAUCUUAUUAUGGUCGUUGUCCAUUAUGGCUGUGCCUCCUUUGUCAACCUGUGACCAUCAGCCAAAUAAUCAUCCAGCAAAUAACCAUCUAGCAAGAACAGGCUGGUGACAGUGACCUUACACAGUUGUGACUCCGUUGUUGAAUCCAUGGUAUAUAGCUUCAAGAAUAAGAACGUUCAGAUGGCCAUUUGGAAAGUGAUUUGCCAAGGAGGAUUUCCUCCUAAAGCUAUAAUAAGAUUAUUUCACAUC
This 1141-nucleotide long non-coding RNA is filed under the name Homo sapiens (human). RNAcentral's name for it is "non-protein coding lnc-OR10R2-1:1". The record is from RNAcentral. Lineage: Eukaryota; Metazoa; Chordata; Mammalia; Primates; Hominidae.